This 3774-nucleotide long non-coding RNA is filed under the name Panax ginseng (ginseng). RNAcentral's name for it is "long non-coding RNA (PGIN_LNC006402)". Lineage: Eukaryota; Viridiplantae; Streptophyta; Magnoliopsida; Apiales; Araliaceae. The record is from RNAcentral.
UCAUAUAUUGUGAGUUUCAAUACAAAUAUUGUUACAUAUAUAAUACGACAAUAUUCAUAUUUUAAUUAUUAUAAUGCCAUAUAAAGUACAGCAGCAAUUAUAUCAAGUCCCCGAAGGGACACGAGAAGAUUUUUGUUCUCCUUAUUAUAAUGGAGUGCACAUUUGACGCUUCCAAAUUCUGAUUCGCCUCACCCUAUUGUUGUUCACCAAAAUUAAAUAUCAAAUGAUGUAUAAAACAUGCCACACACAAUUUAAGUUCUCAGUACAAUUAUUAUGCCACACCGUUUCAUAAUUUGAUUAGGCUUGUGACUAAUUCGUAUCACCACUUUAUAAUCAUGUUCUCUCUGCUAGUCUCAGCUACACUUUUAUUACCUGAAAGGGGUGGUGAAGUAAAAGGGUGAGCACAAAUAGCCCAGUAAAAAAUAUCAUGACUUAAGAUAAUUAAAUUAUCAAUAGCCUUCAUCAAUAAUAAUUCAGAUAUUUUUAGAACAUAUGGUAGAAGAUAACAGUUUCCAACCAUAAUAGCAGCUGAAUCAACAAUCCAUUAGAAGAAUCAAGUAGAACAUAAUGUCUACUAUCUCUCCUAGAUUAAAAGUCUAUCGUUAAUAUUUCAUUCCUGUAAUACUCAUCAACAGUUCUUGGUUAUACGCAAGACAAAGAGAACUCUCAUCACCUGUCUUCACCUGAACCACCACAGAUUAUAAUUAAAUCACAAUUCAUAUUUAUAAUCAAGUAAAUCAACAGUCCAACUUUACACUACAUGCCAAAGAUAUACAACUGUAAAACCAAUAACCAACAGUCCAUCUUUGCACUACAUGCUAAAGAUAUACAACUGUAAAACCAAUAAUCAACAACCCAUUUUUACACUACAGGCCAAAGAUAUACAACUGUAAAACUAAUCACCAACAACCCAUCUUUGCACUACAUGCCAAAGAUAUACAAUUGUAAAACCAAUAAUGCUGAGACUCAGCUUAAUAGUAUCACGACCACGAAUUAUCCAUCCACUACGGGCCAAAGAUAUUCGUGUUUUCAAUUACGGUCAUGAUUAUACCGAAUAAUCCCUGGUCAUGAUCAUACCAAGUCCAUCUAUGCACUACGGGCCAAAGAUGACUUUUACUACAUCAUUUGUAACAUUACGGUCAUGAUUAUACCGAAUAAUCCCUGGUCAUAAUCAUACCAAGUCCAUCUAUGCACUACGGGCCAAAGAAGACUUUUACCACAUCAUUUGUAACAUUACGGUCAUAAUUAUACCGAAAAAUCCCUGGUCAUAAUCAUACUAAGUCUAUCUAUGCACUAUUGGCCAUAAAUGACUUUCAACACAUUAUAAGCAUGAGAAUGAUGACAAUGAUAUAUAUAAUGAAUAAACAUAAAUCAUCAGAAUAAUAAGAUAACAUAGAUCUUAGUGGUUUUCAACUUAAUUAUCCAGAGUCCAAAUUGAUAACAUAAUAAUAGAUGAAUCACAAACUAUUAAGGAUAUUCUAAUCCUUUCAGGACUUUUCACCAUUUAAUGAUAAACUGAAUAAACGAAUAAUAAUAUCUUACCAUAACAUGGAGUAUGAAAGAAAAUGAUAUUCCUUUUACCAUAAAAAUGAUACCCUCUUACCACAAUAAUGAUAUCCCUUACCUUAGCAUGUGACUUGAUUAUGCUUUCUGUGAAAUUGAUCAACUUUAACAAUGCUUGGAUUCCUUAUCUACACUUGGAGUAACAUUACACUCAAUAGAAAUACUCACAAUAUUGAAAUAAAAAAAUUCUAUAUUUUUAGUGUAGUGAUGGUGUGUGUUUAGUUACUCAACCGAGCAACCUAUUUAUACUAAAAAUUUAGUAAACAACUAGCAUGCCUGCUUUAACAAGUUAACCAAAUGAGGUAUAUAAAAAUGGUAGUGGAAUUUAUGGUCCCACAGAGAAAAUUAAACUAACUUGUACACAUUUUAAUAAAAUUUGUUCAAUAAUAGAGUUGUGGUCCAUACUACUUUAGUAAAAGUAGAGUGUUACUUUUGUAAAAAGAAAAUAAUUGAACAACCAUCUGUAUAUCAUACUUAUCUUUAAUCAACACCCUUUUCAAUCUUUGAACCAUUAUUCACAAUUAUUAACAUAGACUCUCAAUACUGCCAACUGGUUUAAUUAUGUCAUAUCAAAUAAUGUGAGUCACUGUGCAAUAACUAUUGUGGCAAUUAUUGAAUAAAAGACUGAGUGACUUCUUACAUAAUUAAGAAUCAAUAAUAUGAAUCACUGUGUAAUAACUACUGUGACAAUUAUUGAAUGAAAUACAAAGUGACUUCUUAUGUAAGAAUCAAAUUAAUACAUUACUUAUAAACAAUUCAAAUUCUAUUAAAAGUAAGGAUCAACAUCAAAUCAUAAUUAUCUCGAAUAACAUAUACACCAACUAAUAAUUCAUUGUUCAUUUAAGUUGUCUUUAUUUAUCGCAUAAUAUCAUUAUAUUUAAUAAUGUUCAUGUUUUACAACUUAGAACAACAUCCUUUAUCAUCGAAAACAUUACACGUUGCAUACGUGUAUGCCUGACGUCCUUCGAUUGCCUCUGAAUGCACAACAGCCCCUAAAAUAGCCAUUUUAGGCCUUGAUACCGACCUCAAAUCUCAAAACAUAAAUAAUGAAAGUUUUGGUUCUACUCGUUAUCUUUCCGAAUCAUCCUGAAUCACCUCAAUCGGAGUUCGUAUGAAAAAGUUAUGCCCAAUUUACUAAAAGACGUCCGAACAGAUUUUGGCUUAACACUCGACCAGCGCCUAGGCGCCCAAAUUUGGCCUUGGGCAAGUGCCUAGGCACCCAAGAACAGAUUCUAAGCGUCGAGCCUAGUGCUUAGGUGCUUGACCUUUGGCACUUAACUCCAAUUUUCCAAAUUUUGCGACUUUUGACACAUAUACUUCAAAAUCUUCAUAACUUCUUCAUCCGUUAUCGGAAUUAGUCUGUUUUCGAGGCUAUGGAAAGCUUGUAACAUGCUCUACAAAACCCCCAAUGAUUUCAUAAUUUUUCAGAUUCAUUAAUUAUUCCAAAAUUUGGCUCCAAAGUCCCCCAGGAUUAAGUUUUUCAUCGCUUAACAUGUUUUACAAAAACUUUCAUCACAACUUCAAUUUAAAUCAUUUUUUUGUUCUUUCAAAUUAGAAUAUUUCCAUAACUUCUUAAUCUAUAGAUCAUUCUCCUCGGAUAUUACACAUAAAUCAACUAUCAACACUUUUACAAGUUUGAUUUAAGUCCUCAAAAUAACUUUUAUUCAUCCUCAAACACAUGCCUAACUUUUUGAUCUUAAAUCUGAUUAUGAAAUGGAAUAAACAUAAAAUCAUCAUAUACUUCAUUAUUACUUUGGAUCCAUCAUUAUUCCCUAUAACCCAACCUUCAACAAAUCAAACUCUUAGGAAAAUUAAAGAGAUGAAAAGUUUUGGUUUUACCUUUUGUGUUCAUAUUCUACCUUCAUGCUUCCAUGGUUUCAUCUUCUUCUUUCUUCCUCUUUCCUUUCUCUCUUCUCUCUUUCUUCUUCUGAACAUGGCUACAGGAGGGAGUAUGAGAGAAUGAGAAAGUGUGCUGAAAAUAAAAAUGAUGGUAUUUUUCUUUUUCUUCCUUUCUUUUUCUUCUUCUUCUUCUUUCUCCUUUUCUCUCUCUCUAUCUUAUCAAUAUUUUGGGCUACGAAAGGAAGAGGUUGUGAGAAAAAUGAGAAAGAUAUCUCUUGAUUUUGCCUUAUUAGGCUCAAUCAAUUGCCUAACUCCCUUGUCCCACCAAAACUAAAUUAAACAAUCAAAGAAAAAGUUGGUGAGGAAUGUGUG